GCGGGCGUGGCGGAACGGCAGACGCGCCAGACUUAGGAUCUGGUGGGUAUCCCCCGUGGAGGUUCAAGUCCUCUCGCCCGCACCA
RNAcentral lists this transfer RNA (85 nucleotides) under Thermanaeromonas sp. C210. RNAcentral describes it as "tRNA-Leu". It matches the Rfam family "tRNA". Rfam says of the family: Transfer RNA (tRNA) molecules are approximately 80 nucleotides in length. Their secondary structure includes four short double-helical elements and three loops (D, anti-codon, and T loops). RNAcentral also lists the same sequence under 3 other names. Lineage: Bacteria; Bacillati; Bacillota; Clostridia; Neomoorellales; Neomoorellaceae. The record is from RNAcentral.